This 4071-nucleotide long non-coding RNA is filed under the name Nicotiana benthamiana. RNAcentral's name for it is "long non-coding RNA (NBEN_LNC021537)". The record is from RNAcentral. Lineage: Eukaryota; Viridiplantae; Streptophyta; Magnoliopsida; Solanales; Solanaceae.
CUUCUCUAAAAUCUAGGGUUGAGCUGACCCUUGAAAACUCCGAAGCAAUGGCGCAACCCACUGGAGAAUUCCUCUUCUUCUUCAUUUGUUUUCUCCAAACAUGAGACCCCUCUUAUACAAUAGAGACAAUGGCGCAUUGAGCUCCUGAACUCCUCCAUUUUGCCUUCUUCCUUCCUCAUUCUCAUUUAUGGCUAGGAUAGACACUCUCUCACGACUAACACAUGCCAAAACACGCUUCUUCUUCACAUUCUCAACAGCCUAAAUACCCAUACACGCAUGUAGACUCAUAGAAAGCAACCUUGAAUUUUGAAUUUCAUAUUCUAGAUCUGUAACACAAUAAGCUUAAAAAUCAGAACAAAAACCGAAAGAAAACAGGGUAUUUCAAAGGUGUUUCUAAUUUCUGCUGUGUCGCUUUCUUAAUUUCUUGGAUUCGGAGGUGGUUGUGGAUUUGAACUGAAGUUGCGCUUGCUGUUUCUGAUUUUGCUGAGCUCUGAUUUCUGAUUUCAGCUUUUAUUCGACUUUUCCCCUUUCCUAAAUGUGAACGUUGUGCAACGAGGUAUGUUUUCCCAAAGCCUGUUCACAUAUCUGUUUUAUUAUGGAAUUAUUGUUGUUAUUUAGCUUGUCUAUGCAAGAAUGGUUUAGAAUCCACAUAUGUGCGUACGGAGUUUGUAUGUGUUCUUUAGUUGGUUAAAAGAAAUAGCACGUGAUUUUUGAUUUGAUGUGAAGAAAUGGGCAUUUUGAAGUUGCAGUCUAUUUUCAUUUUCAUUUGUUAACGAAGAAUUAGAGUUUCCAAGUCUACCAGUGACUUUAAUCUGUUACUGUUCUAAUUGCUUUAUCUCUUUUGGAAUUGGAAUGUUAUUGCAGUAUUAUUUCUAUGAGGUGAUGAUAUUUACGGCUAUGGAUUACUAUCCAAUUAGACUUAAUUGUCAUAGUUACAUUGAUAGUUCAUCAAAUUUAAUUUUCCGUUGCUAUGUUUCUUCUUUUUCUUGUCUAAUGUUGAGAAUAAAAAUAUUCUCUGUAUUGAAAAAAUAGUCUUAUAAUGUAUUUACAUGGUGAGUCAGAAUCAAUAAAAAAAUAUUCCAAACGAAGUGGGACAAAUUCGGUACUUUCUACACAUUAUUCAAAACUUGAACUCUCCAUGGUAAUGGAAUGCCUUUAAUUUGGAAUGGGAGGGGGUUAAAAAUCAGAUUCCUUCCAAAGCAAUAAUGAACCAAGUAUUAACGAAACUCUACAUAUCUUUCCUUAAUGUUCGGGUGGGGCUCCCGAGCCCCAAACGUCAAAUGUCGAGGUUCGAGUGAAGUUAAAAGCUUAGGAAAAACCACGUUUUGCUGCUUCUAUCAUUACCGCUUCUGCGGCUCCUGGACCACUUAGUCGAUUGCGGACCCAAAACAGGGCAGGUCGGGGAAAAAUCGCAGAAGCGGCCUAGGGACUGCAGAAGCGAUUCCGCCUAUGCGGCCCCCAUAGCACAUAAGCGGUCCAGCCCAAAAUUUGUAAAGCCGUAGAAGUUGCCUAAUUCUGCGAAAGGGGAUUCCACAUAAGCGGAAAUCCACCCGCAAAAGCAAAAAGGCUUGGCAGUGAGCUUCAUUUAUUAAGAGCUCAAGCUCAUUUCUUUCACAUCUUUCUCAAUACUUGCGCAAUUUUGGUGAUUCCAAAGAGGGAAUUUCAAUAUAUUGUUGCAUGGUAAGUAAUCCCCACUCACUUUUAGUUCAAGUAAACAAACAAUAGGUAGAUUUAACACUAAAAAUUAAGUAAAAUCAAGAGGUUGGGACUAGACCGAGGGUUUUCAUAAAAUUAAAAUUUAACCACAAAAUUAGCUAUGUAAUUAACUAGAAAUCACAUAUUAGUGAUCCUUAGGUUAUAGAGAAUAAUUUUCUUCGAAAAAUAUCAGGAUCCGGGCACGUGGGCUUGGGGUCGGAAUUUAGGAAAUGUAUGGGAAAGGUUGGAAAAUCACUUAAAUAGUUAGAAUUCAACCUUGUAAGCUCUUAUUGACUUAUUCCUAAACUUUUUUACCAGUUCGUGAACUUUGGGCUUUGCUUUGAGGUUUCGGGCUUGUUCUUGAUAGUUGGAAGUGCGCUUCGGAGCGAAGUGAGUCUCCUUUCUAACCUCGUGAGAGGGAAUUGUCCCUUUAGAACAAAAAGUGAUAAAUUGCUAUUAAAUGCGUAGGCUACGUAUGUACUAGGUGAUGAGAGUCCGUGCGUAGCUACUAUGAUAUUAAAUGUUUGGGUAGUUUAGGACCCACAUCAUGUCUAAUGUGAGAUAUCCAUUAUUUGAAUUAUCAAAAUUAUCUUUUGUGAUAUGUUAAGAGAACAUAGAAGAACGAAAAGUGAUCAUACAAAUAUUGUUGAACCUUGUAAGAAUUUACUUGCGUAUAAAUGAUACCUUUGUGUGCGUUCUUGAUAUUUUAAUUAAUAUUUGUGGAUCGGGCCGAUCGCCUUGGUGAAAUAGAUAUAUCUAUGGUACGGGCUGCUCGACCCUCGGCAGUGCACAAUUUAUAUUCUAUUGGAGCAGGCCGUCGACAUUGUUGCGCAUGAAUAUAUAUAUAUAUAUGUAUGUGUGUGUGUGUGUGUGUGUGUGUGCGCGCGCGCUCGAGCUUAUACCUUUCACCUUAUGUGAGAUAUUAUUUGAAUUAUUAAAAAAAUCUUUUAUGAUAUGUUAGGGACUAGAGUAGAACGAAAAGUAAUAAUACGAAUAUUGUCGAACCUUCUAAGUAUUUCCUUGUAUAUAAAUGAUCCAUUUGCGUGCAUUUUGAUUUUUUAAUUGAUAUUUGUGGAUCGGGCCGAUCACCUCGGUAAAAUAGAUGCAUUUAUGGUUUGUGCCGCUUGACCCUCGGCAGUGCACAAUUUGUAUUCUGUUGGAGUGGGCCGUCGAUAUAUAUAUAUAUAUAUAUAUUGUCGAGCUUAUACCUUUCAUGAUUUAUUGAUAAUUAUUAUAAAAGAGGGAAAAUGAUAAAAGAAAAAUGUGAUUAAGAGCAUGAUUAUGACUUCCCAUGAUAACUAUCUUAUAAAUAAACUAUUUAUGCUCUAAAUCGUACAACUUGACUAUCUCCCGAAUUUAUACACACACAUAUAUGCAUGCUCGAGCUGAGACUUUUCAUGAUUUAUUGCUAAUUAUUGUAAAAGAAGGAAAAUGAUAAAAGAAAAAUAUGAUUAAGAGCAUGAUCAGGAUUUCCAUGAUAAAGUUGUAUAAAUGAACUAUUUAAUUUCUAAAUCGUACAUGAUUACAAUAAUAUUAUCUUCACCUAGUGGGUAUCAAGUCGACCUCUCAUAUCUACCUCUUCGAGAUUAGGUAGGAAACUCACUGGGUACAUAUUGUUUAUAUACUCAUGCUACGCUCUGUACUUAAAUGUACAUGUUCUGAGGCCGAUUCAUUUGGUUAUCGAUCAGGCGUGCGCCGGUGAGCUGCGGCAGAGACUUCUACUGUGAGCUACUUCCCUUGCUAUGCCGCUCAACAGCCGGAUGGAGUCUUCAUUUGUAUUUUUACUGUCUUUCUUUAUUUCAGACAGUAUGAUAGAGAUGUUUUGUAUAUUCUACUAUACGCUCGUACUUGUGACACCAGGUCUUGGCACCCACUUUAGUAGACUAGUUUUGGGUUGUAAUAUUAUAUCCCUACAUUGAUUACUGUAUCAGGUUUUUGAAAAUCCCUUUUGGGAUGCUUAUCCCUUUCAUAAAAAUGGUGAUGUUGUUAAACUUAGAAAUAUUUUCCGCACAUGGCUUGCGCGACAAGGUUGUUGGGCGCCAACAUGACCUGCUAUGGAAAUGGGUCGUGAUAGCAUGUUUCUAGCAGGAAAUGUUAUUGUCUCGCAUAGUCUUGAUUUAUAUUUUCUCAUAUAUGUGUGGAUUUACUUUCCGGACCUUGAGCAUUACAGAUACCCUAGGAUCACUGCAUUCAGGAGCUGUCCGAGGAGCCAUUUUAUGUGUUUAAGUCAAUUGUUCGUGUUUUACUUUCCAGUCUUAUAUAGUGAUUUUUAGUCUUUUAGGUGAUGUUAGUUUUUUUAAUAAUCUAAUUAAGUUUUCCUAGUCUUUUUUAUUGUAUUUCUAUUUUGUAUUUGGAAAUGUGUUACAAGUCAAAAAU